CCGACGCCCCGCGGCCUUGGCCCGCACCGCCACGGCUGCCCCGGCUCCCACAUCUGCUAUGCCGCGCCUAUGACGGCCUCGAAGCCGCACGCCCGCGCCCGCCCGCCGACGUCGCCUCAGCCCGCACCGACGCCCGCCCGCGUCGCCUCUGAACGCAACGACGACCGCGCCAAGCCUACACCAAUGCCCGUCGCCCCGAGGUCGCGAGCUGUUGUAGGCGCUGCACGCCUCGGACGGCUCCGGUGGCAGCCUUGGCUGUAGCGGCGCCAGCCCCUCGGACAGCACCACCCCCUUGACCUCCUCCUCCUCCGCGUCCAUCUCAGCCACCACCCCAACGCUGUGACCGCCGCCCACCACAGACUGCGGCCGCCGCCUGACGCCGCGGGCCCGUGCUAGGACGACGGCCACCACUCCAACACCGUGCCCACGGCCCGUCGCGUAGCCUUGGCGCGCCAAGGACCUAGGGAACAACGCCCGCCGCCCCCCCCCCCCGCGCCCCCCCUCCCCCGAUGCCAAAGGGAGCUGAGGGGUUCAGCAGGACGGCCAGCAGACCACCAUGAAGAAGCUGUAGCUAGGGUUAAGGCAAGGCGUGCACGAGGUCCGGCUCGUGCUCAAGGUGCACUUUGUUAUGUAUUGCUCCUGUUAAACUAUUCAAGGAGAAGAAAACGAAGAAGAGUCGAGAAAGAGAGGAGACGCAGUAGGUACAACUAUAAUUUACAAUGGUUGUAUUGUUGUGUCCUUUAUCGGACAAUGCUAUGAGGUUUGCUCUCGUUCCGGCUUAGUGGUCCAUUGGAUCGAUGACUUUUGAGCUUGCCAAACUAUGAUAAUUCUGCUAUGUUAAAAAGCUCAAAUAGCAGUUCUUAGUUAUAUUGUUGCAUUUUGACAUUUACUCCUCACUAGGUGUUUGCUCUGAGUAGCAGUCUAUCACUAUAUUUCUGAUAUUGUCAUUGGCUAGGAGUUAUGCUUCUAAUGUGCUUAUGCUUUAAAUUAUAUGAGAACUUGGAUAUCUGUCCUAUAUCUUUCUAUGACGGUUGAAUGCUGAAUGGAUGGUUCAGAUGGUUUACCUCUGACAAUAUGUCUUGCUGCAGCUACUGGUUUGGGAGUACUUGCAUACAGAGAUUGAGACAUUGCUACAGUUUUGGGUUCAGCCGCUAUUGUUCAGCUUGACAUUGCUACACAUUGAUGAGUUCUUUAAUAAGAAGGUUGCUCCGAAGGAUCUUGUUGGUGAAAUAAAGCAAUUGAACUGUUGAACUGUCCUUGGUUAAAUUCUAGCAAAAUACUAGCAUGUGCGACUCCAGCUGCUGCCACAGCAACAGCUGCACCAGCAGAGGCUGCUACCGUCGUUCCAACAGAAGCAGCUUGAAGCCUUAUAUAGCUUGAAAGUUUCAUUUUAAACUUGAGUAUGACUUAUGGCAUGGACUAUGUUUGAUGUAUGGACUUUGUGGGUUGUAAUCGAUGUAUAAACAUGUGACACUUGUUAUAACAUUUGAUGUAUUUACUAU
Panicum hallii is the source of this 1502-nucleotide long non-coding RNA. RefSeq lists it as uncharacterized. Lineage: Eukaryota; Viridiplantae; Streptophyta; Magnoliopsida; Poales; Poaceae. The record is from RefSeq and is a predicted model, not a curated record. The transcript is spliced from 4 exons.